Nerophis lumbriciformis (worm pipefish) is the source of this 849-nucleotide non-coding RNA. NCBI's taxonomy places the organism in Eukaryota, Metazoa, Chordata, Actinopteri, Syngnathiformes, Syngnathidae. The record is from RefSeq and is a predicted model, not a curated record.
UUGAUUAAAUUCAUUUUUUGCAGAAAGAUUCGACACAAAAUAACUUAUAACAGGUUUAAAACAGGUUUAUUAAAUAUUUUACAAAUGGAUGUUAAAAAAAUACACUUGAAUACAAACGCUAUAGAAGAGCUUCACUUGUCUCUCAAUGUUGCUAUGUCAAUGCCUUAUCCAAAAUGUAAUUUAUUUAUUUUUUCCCAGCAAAAUACUACAUAAAAUGACAUGUCAUUUUGUGUACUAAGUUAAAAUAGGUUUAAUUAUUUUUUUGCAAACUUAUUAAAUAAAAAAAACACUUUUCCAGCAGAAAAAAAUAAAAUAAAAUAAAUAAAAAACACCUUUCUGCUCUCGUGUAUCCAUAACACACAUUUUGCUAUGUUGCAGCCUUAUCCCAAAUUUGAUUAAAUUCAUUUUUUGCCGCAAAAUUCUACUCAAAAUACUGUAUAAUGAGAAGUUAAAAACAGGGUUUAUUAAAUCUUUUGCCAAUUAAAAAAAAACAAAAAACUUAAAUAUAACUCAUUGACUACAAUCUAAAUUGAUUGGUGUUGAACUAUUCACACCACAUAUUUUACUGUGUUACAGCCUCAUACAAAAAUCGAUUAAAUGCAUAUUUUUUUCAGUCAGACUACUUAAAUAUUACUCAAAAUACCCACUUCCGUAUGACUUCUGUACUGUAUGCAUGUCUGUGUCUCUUCAAUAGAAGGUGAGUCACAAGAAUCAACAGAUCUCCAUGUUAGAAAUGGAAAAAGACGCUCUCCUUGAACAACUUCACGAAGUUCAAGCCCACUAAUUGCCAGGUGCACCCGUCCCGUUGCUUGUAAAUAAGUAUUUAAGUUAAUAAAUGUAAUCAAAUCC